Molecule: ribosomal RNA, 423 nt
Filed under: uncultured bacterium
Lineage: Bacteria
Description: partial 16S ribosomal RNA
Rfam family: Bacterial small subunit ribosomal RNA
Source: RNAcentral
GAAUCUUCCACAAUGGACGAAAGUCUGAUGGAGCAAUGCCGCGUGAGUGGAGAAGGUUUUCGGAUCGUAAAACUCUGUUGUGAGGGAAGAACAAGUACGAGAGUAACUGCUCGUACCUUGACGGUACCUCAUUAGAAAGCCACGGCCACCUAAGUGCCAGCAGCCGCGGGACUACGUCUGUGGCAAGCGUUGUACGGACUUAUUGGGCGUAAAGCGCGCGCAGGCGGUCCUUUAAGUCUGAUGUGAAAUCCCACGGCUCAACCGUGGAAGGUCAUUGGAAACUGGGGGACUUGAGUACAGAAGAGGAAAGCGGAAUUCCAAGUGUAGCGGUGAAAUGCGUAGAGAUUUGGAGGAACACCAGUGGCGAAGGCGACAUACUGGCUCAUUACUGACGCUGAGGCGCGAAAGCGUGGGGAGCAAACA